AGCUUUGUGCAGGGAGGUAUCGUAGCCCAUGAGGUGUAUCCGAGGCGCCAUUAUUGCUGAUUGAAAACUUUUCCCAAGACCCCGCCGUGACGACUUGCAAUAUAGACAGCAUUGGCAAUUUUUGAUAGUCUCUACGGAGA
Molecule: small nuclear RNA, 140 nt
Organism: Callithrix jacchus (white-tufted-ear marmoset)
Lineage: Eukaryota; Metazoa; Chordata; Mammalia; Primates; Cebidae
Gene: U4
Rfam family: U4 spliceosomal RNA
About the family: U4 small nuclear RNA (U4 snRNA) is a component of the major U2-dependent spliceosome. The structure of U4 snRNA from yeast and human has been reported.
Source: Ensembl